This 478-nucleotide ribosomal RNA is filed under the name Bulinus cf. transversalis CB-2022. RNAcentral describes it as "partial large subunit ribosomal RNA". It matches the Rfam family "Bacterial large subunit ribosomal RNA", at positions 1796 to 2619 of the family's 2925-position model. Lineage: Eukaryota; Metazoa; Mollusca; Gastropoda; Planorbidae. The record is from RNAcentral.
UCGCCUGUUUAUCAAAAACAUAGUUUAGUGAAAAUACAUACUAAAUUAAUUCUGCCCAGUGUCUUUUAUGAUAAAUGGCCGCAGUACCUUGACUGUGCUAAGGUAGCAUAAUCAAUUGGCUUUUAAUUGAAGUCUGGAAUGAAAGGAUAAAUGGGAUCUUUCUGUCUUUAGCAUAUAGUAAUAAAUUUAUUUAAAAGGUGAAAAUACCUUUAAAAAAAAAAAAGACGAGAAGACCCUAAGAAUUUUUAAAAUAAAAUUUUCUUUUAAUUUUUUUGUUGGGGCGACAAUUUAGUAAGUUUAACCUAAAUUAUUUAAUAAGGCGAAAUUUUUAAGUAAAAUAAAAUUACCUUAGGGAUAACAGCAUAAUUUUUUAAUAGUUUGUGACCUCGAUGUUGGACUAGGAACUUUAUGACUAACAGUCAAAUAAGAUUUAUUCUGUUCNAAUAAUACUAUCCUACNUGAUCUGAGUUCAAACCGG